This 253-nucleotide ribosomal RNA is filed under the name uncultured bacterium. RNAcentral's name for it is "partial 16S ribosomal RNA". It matches the Rfam family "Bacterial small subunit ribosomal RNA", at positions 524 to 776 of the family's 1533-position model. The record is from RNAcentral.
UACAGAGGGUGCGAGCGUUAUCCGGAAUUACUGGGCGUAAAGCGCACGUAGUCGGCUUUGCAAGUCGGGUGUGAAAUCCCCGGGCUCAACCUGGGAACUGCAUCCGAGACUGCAUUGCUAGAGUAUGGGAGAGGGAAGCGGAAUUUCUGGUGUAGCAGUGAAAUGCGUAGAUAUCGUAAGGAAGACCAGUGGCGAAGGCGGGUCUCUGGACAGUUCCUGACGCUGAGGCACGAAGGCCAGGGGAGCAAACGGG